AACGAACGCCGGCGGCAGGCCUAACACAUGCAAGUCGAGCGCCCCAGCAAUGGGGAGGCGGCAGACGGGUGAGUAACGCGUGGGAACCUUCCCAAUGGUACGGAAUAGCCCAGGGAAACUUGGAGUAAUACCGUAUACGCCCGAAAGGGGAAAGAUUUAUCGCCAUUGGAUGGGCCCGCGUCUGAUUAGCUAGUUGGUGAGGUAACGGCUCACCAAGGCGACGAUCAGUAGCUGGUCUGAGAGGAUGAUCAGCCACACUGGGACUGAGACACGGCCCAAACUCCUACGGGAGGCAGCAGUGGGGAAGUAUUGGACAAUGGGCGCAAGCCUGAUCCAGCCAUGCCGCGUGAGUGACGAAGGUCUUCGAUUGUAAAGCUCUUUUGGCGGGACGGAUAAUGACGGUACCCGCAGAAUAAGCCCCGGCUAA
This 427-nucleotide ribosomal RNA is filed under the name uncultured bacterium. Its description in RNAcentral is "bacterial SSU rRNA". It matches the Rfam family "Bacterial small subunit ribosomal RNA", at positions 29 to 500 of the family's 1533-position model. The record is from RNAcentral.